CCUACGGGGGGCAGCAGUAGGGAAUCUUCCACAAUGGACGAAAGUCUGAUGGAGCAAUGCCGCGUGAAUGAAGAAGGUCUUCGGAUCGUAAAGUUCUGUUAUUAGAGAAGAAUAGGUCGAGGAGUAACUGUCUCGACUUUGACGGUACCUAACCAGAAAGUCACGGCUAACUACGUGCCAGCAGCCGCGGUAAUACGUAGGUGACGAGCGUUGUCCGGAAUUAUUGGGCGUAAAGGGAGCGCAGGCGGUUGAAAUAGUCUGAUGUGAAAGCCCACGGCUUAACCGUGGAAGGUCAUUGGAAACUGUUCAACUUGAAUACAGAAGAGGUAAGUGGAAUUCCAAGUGUAGCGGUGAAAUGCGUAGAUAUUUGGAGGAACACCAGUGGCGAAGGCGACUUACUGGUCUGUAAUUGACGCUGAGGCUCGAAAGCGUGGGUAGCAAACAGGAUUAGAUACCCUAGUAGUCCACGCCGUAAACGAUGAGUGCUAAGUGUUAGGGGGUUUCCGCCCCUUAGUGCUGGAGUUAACGCAUUAAGCACUCCGCCUGGGGAGUACGGCCGCAAGGCUGAAACUCAAAGGAAUUGACGGGGACCCGCACAAGCGGUGGAGCAUGUGGUUUAAUUCGACGCAGCGCGAAGAACCUUACCAACUCUUGACAUCUUCUGAUCACCCUAGAGAUAGGGCUUUCCCUUCGGGGACAGAAUGACAGGUGGUGCAUGGUUGUCGUCAGCUCGUGUCGUGAGAUGUUGGGUUAAGUCCCAUAACGAGCGCAACCCUUAUUGUUAGUUGCCAGCAUUCAGUUGG
This 803-nucleotide ribosomal RNA is filed under the name uncultured bacterium. RNAcentral's name for it is "bacterial SSU rRNA". It matches the Rfam family "Bacterial small subunit ribosomal RNA", at positions 338 to 1134 of the family's 1533-position model. The record is from RNAcentral.